Molecule: long non-coding RNA, 1666 nt
Filed under: Malus domestica (apple)
Lineage: Eukaryota; Viridiplantae; Streptophyta; Magnoliopsida; Rosales; Rosaceae
Description: long non-coding RNA (MDOM_LNC019877)
Source: RNAcentral
UUCAACUGCAGCAACAAACAUUCCAUCCAAAAAGACCCGCUCGAAUGCACAUUGAAUAGUAAGUUUUCCAAACGUACAUUGUGAGGAUCAUCUUGAAAGCUUGGAAGUUCUUCCUAGCAUAACGUGUGGCCUAAGUAAUUUUCUAUUUCUCAUAAAGAUUGUAUACCCAACGCAAUCACAAUGUUGAACAAAUGAUCUACAACAUCUUAAUUACAAGGGUAUUGGCUAGACAAUUGGCAUGCACUUUAUACCAUGAUGCUUGUAGUGUUGGGGUAACUUGGGCAUCAAUUACCUUAAUUUCAGUUUCACUUUACUCCCAUAGGUCUCGUUUGGUGGCCAUAUUACAUCAGACUUCAAGACGGCCACCAAACGGGACCAUACUUAUUAUCAAACGAUCACAAGAGAAUUUUAGAGUGUGAAAAGAAGUCAAUGAAGUAGAGAGGAGUGCCUUUUAUUACAAGAAACUCUGUAGGACUAUUUUGUUUCAAACGCAUGGCCUAGGUUGGCUCAUAUUAACAUCAAACUCUUCUCUCUCUCUCUCUCUUUCUCUCUCUAUCUCUCUCUCUCUCUCUCGUACUGUUAUACUGUUCUUAACGUGUAAGUAAUUGGAUCUAUUGAAAUGGGAAAUUAGUUGGUCUUUGAUUUGCCGAUUUGGGCAAUUAGUUUAAUAUGGAUAAUUUACUUGUAGUUUUGGAGAAAACUUGUGUGGUGCUUCGUUUGUCGUUGGAUUUUGUUGAAAGGCACUACAAUUCAUUCAAAAUACACCACGUAGAAAAUCUUCAAUAUCAUUUAUUAUUUUGGGUUAAUCUCAAUUUAUUAUCCUGAAAUUUAUUGAUUUUCAACAUUUAAUACAUGAAGUUUUAUUCAUUCCAGAGUGGACAUAAAGUCAUAAUUUUGAGACACUUUCAUACAUCUGCUAAGUUUGUUGUUAAAUCAGUUGUUAACUGGUAACUUGGUGCUCACGUUGGCAGUGACUAGACGCCAUGUGUCAUAGAGGCCCACAUAAAUAUUUAAAAAAAAUUAAAAAUUUAAAAAAAAAUUGGGUUAUCCCCUACCUCAACCCCCUCCCUCCCUUCUCUCCUCUGCACACCCUUUCCGCACACCCACCCUCAAUUCCCUCUUCCAAAACCCAUCGUCUUCACCGCCCCCUAUUCCCCCUAACCCUCCUUCUUCUCUCCUCUGCGCUCACCCAAAUCUCCCUCCAUAAAACGUGUAGGAUCUAGAACCCUCUUGGACCGGCAAAGAUGAACAGGACCGCGGUGGGCGGUGCCCAGAAUUACACCGCUGCAUUUCCAUGGUGGUCGUUGCUAGGCUGUUAGACAACGCCGAGUUCCUGAACCGCUGGAACAACGACAUUUUUAGCAAAUUUGGGCUAGCUUUGAAGUUUCUGGGUUUUGUCUUCUUAAAACCAAAGUGUGAAGGUUGGAGCUUCAAUCGGAGCUCUUUUAGCGGCAUGGCUAGGUUUUGUAUCAGAGAAAUGUUGGUUAUUUAUUUUAUUUUCUUAAAGAUUCAAAACUUUAUUUAUUAUUAUUUUAAAUAAAAAAUAUGAAGAGUCAUAUUCAUCAGAGAAGUCAUGUCUUUUAUUAAGGGGCAUGUAGAGUUUAAUAAAUAGCGAACUCCUCAAACAGAACAAAGACGUUAACAUAGAUUAAAAUGUCCUCCUUCU